RNAcentral lists this ribosomal RNA (569 nucleotides) under Staphylococcus aureus. Its description in RNAcentral is "partial 23S ribosomal RNA". It matches the Rfam family "Bacterial large subunit ribosomal RNA", at positions 1603 to 2173 of the family's 2925-position model. The record is from RNAcentral. Lineage: Bacteria; Bacillati; Bacillota; Bacilli; Caryophanales; Staphylococcaceae.
CACUGCCGAGAAAAGCCUCUAGAUAGAAAAUAGGUGCCCGUACCGCAAACCGACACAGGUAGUCAAGAUGAGAAUUCUAAGGUGAGCGAGCGAACUCUCGUUAAGGAACUCGGCAAAAUGACCCCGUAACUUCGGGAGAAGGGGUGCUCUUUAGGGUUAACGCCCAGAAGAGCCGCAGUGAAUAGGCCCAAGCGACUGUUUAUCAAAAACACAGGUCUCUGCUAAACCGUAAGGUGAUGUAUAGGGGCUGACGCCUGCCCGGUGCUGGAAGGUUAAGAGGAGUGGUUAGCUUCUGCGAAGCUACGAAUCGAAGCCCCAGUAAACGGCGGCCGUAACUAUAACGGUCCUAAGGUAGCGAAAUUCCUUGUCGGGUAAGUUCCGACCCGCACGAAAGGCGUAACGAUUUGGGCACUGUCUCAACGAGAGACUCGGUGAAAUCAUAGUACCUGUGAAGAUGCAGGUUACCCGCGACAGGACGGAAAGACCCCGUGGAGCUUUACUGUAGCCUGAUAUUGAAAUUCGGCACAGCUUGUACAGGAUAGGUAGGAGCCUUUGAAACGUGAGCGCUA